This 1085-nucleotide long non-coding RNA is filed under the name Brachypodium distachyon (stiff brome). RNAcentral describes it as "long non-coding RNA (BDIS_LNC003980)". Lineage: Eukaryota; Viridiplantae; Streptophyta; Magnoliopsida; Poales; Poaceae. The record is from RNAcentral.
CUGCCGUGGCAUGCUUUUGCCUAAUGAGUCUCGUGUGCUGUUCUUUAUCUUAUCGCUUUAAGCAAAUUAUUGUGGAACCACGGCUGCCAUCCUAAGCCUUUGGCACAUGAAUUCCACUCUGCAGUUGGCUGAGUGUAUGUCUGUCUGACUGUCUCCCUUGCACACAGUUGCCCGUGGUACGCAACUACAAAUGUCUGCAGUUCCAUCCCAGCAUUGACCAUUUUUAUGGGAUCUUAAUCUUAGCAUUGAUCCCUUUUUUUUAGGAAAUCUUAGCACUGACCUGUGAAGUUUUUUUUUUAGGGGAUCACUGACCUGUGAAGUGAUAGCCCACGGAGGGCCAUGUUCUGAUUUACGGGAAGGGGUGGCCCAAAAAGCGAAUAUAUAGCCGGCCCAACCAACGGUAAGAAACUUAAGACAUACAGCAAUAGCAGAUGAUUGCUGUCCCUUCUUUCGGCCCAACCAGACCCAAGGUGAGAAACUAGAAGCAACAACAGGAAACAGACGGAGAAAUUCCACAGCACAAACUGUAUCUCUCCCAUGCUGUCAAAAAAAAAAAAAACUUUAUCUCCCCCAUCCGAUCCGUAGCACAAACAUUCCCUCGGCUCUCCGAUCAAAAAAGAAAAACUUUCCCUCGGCUCUCCAUCGACCACACCACCGAACACAAGCAAACCAAACACCUCAAUCUCUGUCUCUAGAGUCGUGCGGUAACCUGAUUAAUCUCGUACAUCCCUCUAGAUCGCCACAACAAUCCUCUCGAGAAACCUGUUACCUGUGGCGCUAUUUAGAGAUUAUUAGAGAAAGAAACAGAAAGGAAAAGCUGUGGCUGCGGUGAAAUGAGCGCCGCGCGCACUGCUGCGUGCGCGCGUGACGCACGCUAUCUGGGCAUGUGCGAGCCUUGUCUUGACACGUUUGGCAGAGGACACGUACAUACUUACGUAUACCGUCGUGCCUUUCACCUCCCAUGCAUCCAUCACACACAGAUUCACGGGUAUGAAAAGACCGGACGACUGACUGUUCGCGCGCCUCAUCUUGCUUUCGCUCCAUUAGAUAUAUCCUUUUCUUUCAUGGCGACGUAUAUACAUGGC